This is a non-coding RNA of Maylandia zebra (zebra mbuna), 311 nucleotides long. Lineage: Eukaryota; Metazoa; Chordata; Actinopteri; Cichliformes; Cichlidae. The record is from RefSeq and is a predicted model, not a curated record.
UCACAGAGGGUCGUCUGAUUGAUGGGGCUUCUUUCUCAUAUUGUAGCAUCUUUGCCUUUAUGAUAUAAAGGUCACCAAGGCAACUGUUGUUGUGAUUUGGAGCAAUCUUCGGCCGUUGGGUAGCAGCUGGUAUCCAGGGGGACACAGGCACUGGAAACUACCAAUCGUAUUUCGGCAUUCAUGUUGGCACGGUUUCUUGAGGAGGCACUCGUCCACAUCUGACAGCUCUGCCUGGUGAUGCGAGAUACUCCAUGGGAACGGGAGAGGAUUGGCCUGCCGAGGGAUGACACCAGCUGUGGGACGAGUCUCGC